GGGCUGGGAAAGACCGGUGCCAGCCGCCGCGGUAAUACCGGCAGCUCGAGUGGUCGUCGCUUUUAUUGGGCCUAAAACGUCCGUAGCCUGUUUGGUAAAUCUGUGGGUAAAUCAACCAGCUUAACUGGUUGAAUUCUGCAGAGACUGCCAGACUAGGGACCGGGAGAGGUGUGGGGUACUCUAGGGGUAGGGGUAAAAUCCUGUCAUCCUUAGAGGACCACCAGUUGCGAAGGCGCCACACUGGAACGGAUCCGACGGUCAGGGACGAAGCCUAGGGGCACGAACCGGAUUAGAUACCCGGGUAGUCCUAGGUGUAAACGCUGUGAACUUGGUGUCGGGAGUCCGCAAUGGGCCCCCGGUGCCGGAGUGAAGAUGUUAAGUUCACUGCCUGGGGAGUACGGUCGCAAGGCUGAAACUUAAAGGAAUUGCGGGGGGGAGCAC
This 441-nucleotide ribosomal RNA is filed under the name uncultured archaeon. RNAcentral's name for it is "bacterial SSU rRNA". It matches the Rfam family "Archaeal small subunit ribosomal RNA", at positions 439 to 879 of the family's 1478-position model. The record is from RNAcentral.